CCCUGCUCAGCAGUCUGAGACUCAGUAAUGGGGAUAAUGUCCAAAGAUUCUGCUCGGCUCCUAUGAGCACUCCCAUUGACUCCUGUCCAUAGCUCCUUGCUAUCCAGCCCAAAGGCAGAUGCAGCUGAGUGUAGAUAAAUCUCUCCACAAGACUAACAGCCCAGUAAGAACAUGUGGCCCACUGUUAGUAGUAAGAUUAGCUUUACGCAGGAAAAAAAGGCAACCAAAUCCAAUGGCCCUGGGGAGGCUAUUGUUAGUUUUCCAGCACUAUAACAAAAUACCCAAAGCUAAGUACUCAUAAGGAAGUUAGUCUAACUCACAGUUCUGGAGGGUCUAGGGCCUGGUACCGGCCUCUGCUGAGGAUCUCAUGGCAGAGGGCUUCACAGUGUUGGGAAUAUGUUACAGGGAGAGAGCACAUGGCAAAACACACAGCUAAAGAGCAAUUCGAGUCCAGCUGCUUCUUUAAUAACCAUCUCAAAAGACCUAAUGGGGUGCCACAGAAACUCCCUGGUUUCUUCUGAGGACAAUGUUCGUGAGGUUCCCACUACACUCCAUACCUCUUAAUGAUGCUACAUGGGACCAAACUUCUAAUACAUGAGUCACUGAGGAACUAACCCUAGGUAAAGCAUAGCAGGGAGUGUCAGUUAACUGACCUGAAACUCCUCCAGGGAGCCUUCUCCGUGACAGGCAGGCUUCAACAGAUGCAAUUUCAACGGGCACUGACCACCUUUUCAGAAGGCAGUGGUUCCAGGCGUGGAGGUCCUCCCUGGUACUAACUUGUUGGUAGCAGCAUUAUGAAUGGAGUGGAGCAAAACAGAAGCAAGGAGUCAAGAUGCCAAACCACGAAACCUAUCGCUUCCUCUGGGCAGACAGGCUUGAGGCUGAGGAAGUACAUUAGCCACAAAGAACACUUCUUAGACUUUACCUCUCUCUUCAUCCCUCAGCUCCUGCCUGCAUCCUGGCUCCUUGGGGCCAGACUCCUGCUCUGCUCUGGAGCUCUGAGAAACUUUUCCAGAAAGGAGUCUAGAAGAAAUUCUAGAAAAGGAAUUCUUAAGAAGGGUCUGAAGGCUGCUCAAGACUGGUCAUGUACUUGCGUCCUCCUGUCUGAGAGCUUCUAGACACGUGAAGGUUCCUUCCACUGUGCUUUGGGAAGAAAUCCAUUUACUCAAGAGAACAGGAUUCCCUGGUACAGCCGUUCC
RNAcentral lists this long non-coding RNA (1199 nucleotides) under Cricetulus griseus (Chinese hamster). RNAcentral describes it as "lncRNA (ENSCGRG00015040538.1)". Lineage: Eukaryota; Metazoa; Chordata; Mammalia; Rodentia; Cricetidae. The record is from RNAcentral.